Molecule: ribosomal RNA, 240 nt
Filed under: uncultured archaeon
Lineage: Archaea
Description: partial 16S ribosomal RNA
Rfam family: Bacterial small subunit ribosomal RNA
Source: RNAcentral
UACGGUAGGGUGCAAGCGUUAAUCGGAAUUACUGGGCGUAAAGCGUGCGCAGGCGGUUUUGUAAGACAGGCGUGAAAUCCCCGGGACUCCAACCGUGGGUAAACUGGGCGCUUGUGUACUAGCAAAGCUGGAGUGCGGGCAGAGGGGGAUGGAAUUCCGCGUGUAGCAGUGAAAUGCGUAGAUAUGCGGAGGAACACCAAUGGCGAAGGCAAUCCCCUGGGCCUGCACUGACGCUCAUGC